Molecule: ribosomal RNA, 250 nt
Filed under: uncultured bacterium
Lineage: Bacteria
Description: partial 16S ribosomal RNA
Rfam family: Bacterial small subunit ribosomal RNA
Source: RNAcentral
UACAGAGGGUGCGAGCGUUGUCCGGAAUCACUGGGCGUAAAGGGCGCGUAGGUGGCGGGAUAAGCGUGUGGUGAAAGCCCGGGGCUCAACCCCGUGUCUGCCAUGCGGACUGUCUUGCUCGAGCGUAGUAGAGGCAGGUGGAAUUCCGGGUGUAGCGGUGGAAUGCGUAGAGAUCCGGAAGAACAUCGGUGGCGAAGGCGGCCUGCUGGGCUACUGCUGACACUGAGGCGCGACAGCGUGGGGAGCAAAC